This 479-nucleotide ribosomal RNA is filed under the name uncultured bacterium. RNAcentral describes it as "partial 16S ribosomal RNA". It matches the Rfam family "Bacterial small subunit ribosomal RNA", at positions 46 to 523 of the family's 1533-position model. The record is from RNAcentral.
GCCUAACACAUGCAAGUCGAACGGAACUUCUUCGACAGAAUUCUUCGGAAGGAAGUUGAUUAAGUUUAGUGGCGGACGGGUGAGUAACGCGUGAGUAACCUGCCUUUGAGAGGGGAAUAACUUCCCGAAAGGGAUGCUAAUACCGCAUGACGCAUAUUUAUCGCAUGGUAGCUAUGCCAAAGAUUUAUCGCACAAAGAAGGACUCGCGUCCGAUUAGCCAGUUGGCGGGGUAACGGCCCACCAAAGCGACGAUCGGUAGCCGGACUGAGAGGUUGGACGGCCACAUUGGGACUGAGACACGGACCAGACUCCUACGGGAGGCAGCAGUGGGGGAUAUUGCGCAAUGGGGGAAACCCUGACGCAGCAACGGCGCGUGAAGGAUGAAGGUUUUCGGAUUGUAAACUUCUUUUAUUUAGGACGAACAAUGACGGUACUAAAUGAAUAAGCUCCGGCUAACUACGUGCCAGCCGCCGCGGUAA